Molecule: ribosomal RNA, 775 nt
Filed under: uncultured Neocallimastigales
Lineage: Eukaryota; Fungi; Neocallimastigomycota; Neocallimastigomycetes; Neocallimastigales
Description: partial large subunit ribosomal RNA
Rfam family: Eukaryotic large subunit ribosomal RNA
Source: RNAcentral
CGCAUCUGUGCAUGCAGCAUAUCAAUAAGCGGAGGAAAAGAAACUAACAAGGAUUCCCCUAGUAACGGCGAGUGAAGCGGGAAGAGCUCAAAUUUGAAAUCUUAAAGGGUUUCCCUUUACGAAUUAGUAGUUUAAAGAAGUGUUUUCUGUUGAGGUUUUGGUAAAAGUUCUUUGGAAUAGGACAUCAUAGAGGGUGAGAAUCCCGUAUUUGACCUUUACUUUCAACUUUGUGAUACACUUUCAAAGAGUCGGAUUGUUUGGGAAUGCAGUCCAAAAUGGGUGGUAAAUUUCAUCUAAAGCUAAAUAUUGGCGAGAGACCGAUAGCGAACAAGUACCGUGAGGGAAAGAUGAAAAGAACUUUGAAAAGAGAGUUAAACAGUACGUGAAAUUGUCAAAAGGGAAGCGUUUGACACCAGUGUUGUUUUUCUGAAAAUCAAUUAAAGAACUGUUUAUGCUAAGCUGUUUAGACUUUAUCAGCUAACUGUUUAGUUUUGAGCUUUUCUUUAAUGCACUUUUCAGUUAACAAGUCAACAUCGAUUUCUUUUGCUGUAAAAAAGCUUGAGGAAGGUGGCUUGAGAUUCGUCUUAAGUGUUUAUAGCCUCUUGCCUAUGCAGUCGGAGAGAUUGAGGUCUGCAGCGUAGAUCCUUCGGGGCUAAAUGCAUUUGUGCUAAGUUAUAGCAUUUUAUAGACAACUUGUUGACUAUGAUUUGUCUUGUAGCUUACUCGCUUAUGUUAUUUUACCUACGCUUAGGAUGUUGAGUCAUCACACAUCUCU